This 1100-nucleotide ribosomal RNA is filed under the name Pseudomonas aeruginosa. RNAcentral's name for it is "bacterial SSU rRNA". Lineage: Bacteria; Pseudomonadati; Pseudomonadota; Gammaproteobacteria; Pseudomonadales; Pseudomonadaceae. The record is from RNAcentral.
GGAMMGCCCYWAMMMMUUGCMAGUCGAGCGGAUGAAGGGAGCUUGCUCCUGGAUUCAGCGGCGGACGGGUGAGUAAUGCCUAGGAAUCUGCCUGGUAGUGGGGGAUAACGUCCGGAAACGGGCGCUAAUACCGCAUACGUCCUGAGGGAGAAAGUGGGGGAUCUUCGGACCUCACGCUAUCAGAUGAGCCUAGGUCGGAUUAGCUAGUUGGUGGGGUAAAGGCCUACCAAGGCGACGAUCCGUAACUGGUCUGAGAGGAUGAUCAGUCACACUGGAACUGAGACACGGUCCAGACUCCUACGGGAGGCAGCAGUGGGGAAUAUUGGACAAUGGGCGAAAGCCUGAUCCAGCCAUGCCGCGUGUGUGAAGAAGGUCUUCGGAUUGUAAAGCACUUUAAGUUGGGAGGAAGGGCAGUAAGUUAAUACCUUGCUGUUUUGACGUUACCAACAGAAUAAGCACCGGCUAACUUCGUGCCAGCAGCCGCGGUAAUACGAAGGGUGCAAGCGUUAAUCGGAAUUACUGGGCGUAAAGCGCGCGUAGGUGGUUCAGCAAGUUGGAUGUGAAAUCCCCGGGCUCAACCUGGGAACUGCAUCCAAAACUACUGAGCUAGAGUACGGUAGAGGGUGGUGGAAUUUCCUGUGUAGCGGUGAAAUGCGUAGAUAUAGGAAGGAACACCAGUGGCGAAGGCGACCACCUGGACUGAUACUGACACUGAGGUGCGAAAGCGUGGGGAGCAAACAGGAUUAGAUACCCUGGUAGUCCACGCCGUAACGAUGUCGACUAGCCGUUGGGAUCCUUGAGAUCUUAGUGGCGCAGCUAACGCGAUAAGUCGACCGCCUGGGGAGUACGGCCGCAAGGUUAAAACUCAAAUGAAUUGACGGGGGCCCGCACAAGCGGUGGAGCAUGUGGUUUAAWUUCGAAGCAACSCGAAGAACCUUACCUGGCCUUGACAUGCUGAGAACUUUCCAGAGAUGGAUUGGUGCCUUYCGGGAACUCAGACACAGUGCUGCAUGGCCUGUCGUCAGCUCGUGYCKKRAGAUGUUGGCUAMGUCCCGUAACGAGCSCAACCCUUGUCCUUAGUUACCASCMCCUCGGGUGGC